GCCAGUGUGGUGUAGUGGUUUGAUCUUUGACUAUGACUCUGGAGAUCAAGGUUCAAUUCCCUGCUCAGCCC
This 71-nucleotide transfer RNA is filed under the name Phrynosoma platyrhinos (Desert horned lizard). RNAcentral describes it as "tRNA-OTHER". The record is from RNAcentral. Lineage: Eukaryota; Metazoa; Chordata; Lepidosauria; Squamata; Phrynosomatidae.